AGGACGAACGCUUGCGGCGUGCCUAAGAAAUGCAAGUCGAACGGUUCAGGGGCUUCGGCCCUUGUUCAGUGGCGAACGGUCGCGUAACACGUAGGCAACCUGCCCUAAAGUGGGGGAUAACAGCCUGAAAGGGCGUGCUAAUACCGCAUGUGGUCAUCUUCUCGCAUGGGGGGGAUGUCCAAAGGCUUCAGCAAUGGAGUCGCUUUGGGAUGGGCUUGCGGCCUAUCAGCUUGUUGGUGGGGUAACGGCCUACCAAGGCGUUGACGGGUAGCUGGUCUGAGAGGACGAUCAGCCGGAUUGGGACUGAGAUACGGCCCAGACUCCUACGGGGGGCAGCAAUUAGGAAUCUUGCGCAAUGGGGGCAACCCUGACGCAGCGACGCCGCGUGCGGGAUGAAGGCAUUCGUGUCGUAAACCGCUUUUGAGUGGGAAGAAGAAUGUGACGGUACCCAUACGAAUUAAGCCCCGGCUAACUCGUGCCAGCAGCCG
RNAcentral lists this ribosomal RNA (488 nucleotides) under uncultured soil bacterium. Its description in RNAcentral is "bacterial SSU rRNA". It matches the Rfam family "Bacterial small subunit ribosomal RNA", at positions 26 to 517 of the family's 1533-position model. The record is from RNAcentral.